Molecule: small RNA, 590 nt
Filed under: Sebacina aureomagnifica
Lineage: Eukaryota; Fungi; Basidiomycota; Agaricomycetes; Sebacinales; Sebacinaceae
Description: eukaryotic LSU rRNA
Rfam family: 5.8S ribosomal RNA (bases 190-343)
Source: RNAcentral
UCUUGGUCAAUUAGACAUUAUUGAUUGUGAAUCGUUACCUUUGGUGCUGGCUCUGGCAUGUGCACAUUGGUGACUUUCAUCCAAUCCCCCUGUGAACCCUUGGCCUCUCGCUGGCUUUGGCUGGUAGAGGAUUUUACACAUAAACUUGAAUGUAAUGAAAUCUGUUAUUGUGUGCAAGCACUAAUGUACAACUUUCAACAACGGAUCUCUUGGCUCUCGCAUCGAUGAAGAACGCAGCGAAAUGCGAUAAGUAAUGUGAAUUGCAGAAUUCAGUGAAUCAUCGAAUCUUUGAACGCACCUUGCACCCUUUGGUAUUCCGAAGGGUAUGCUCGUUUGAGUGUCAUUGUACUCUCACUCUUACCAAUCCUUUGGAUUUGGGGGUGGUGGAUUUGGGUUUGCCGCUUUACUGUGGCUCACCUGAAAGGCAUUAGUGCAACUCUCAGUUGGACAUAGAACGGCAUGAUAAGUAUCUUCGCCGGCACCUUGCAUGAGGGUGGCUGAUUGGGAGCUCUGUGCUUCAAACUGUCUUUGGACAAUCUCUGACACUUGACCUCAAAUCGAGUAGGACUACCCGCUGAACUUAAGCAUAU